AUUGAACGCUGGCGGAAUGCUUUACACAUGCAAGUCGAACGGUAGAGGGGGCAACCCCUCGAGAGUGGCGAACGGGUGAGUAAUAUAUCGGAACGUGCCCAGUCGUGGGGGAUAACGUAGCGAAAGUUGCGCUAAUACCGCAUACGAUCUAAGGAUGAAAGCGGGGGAUCGCAAGACCUCGCGCGAUUGGAGCGGCCGAUAUCAGGUUAGGUAGUGGGUGGGGUAAAGGCGCACCAAGCCAACGAUCUGUAGCUGGUCUGAGAGGACGACCAGCCACACUGGAACUGAGACACGGUCCAGACUCCUACGGGAGGCAGCAGUGGGGAAUUUUGGACAAUGGACGCAAGUCUGAUCCAGCCAUUCCGCGUGCAGGAUGAAGGCCCUCGGGUUGUAAACUGCUUUUGUACGGAACGAAAAGGUCUCUCUUAAUACGGGGGACUCAUGACGGUACCGUAAGAAUAAGCACCGGCUAACUACGUGCCAGCAGCCGCCGUAA
This 496-nucleotide ribosomal RNA is filed under the name uncultured bacterium. RNAcentral's name for it is "partial 16S ribosomal RNA". It matches the Rfam family "Bacterial small subunit ribosomal RNA", at positions 30 to 523 of the family's 1533-position model. The record is from RNAcentral.